This is a long non-coding RNA of Siniperca chuatsi (mandarin fish), 3488 nucleotides long. RefSeq lists it as uncharacterized. NCBI's taxonomy places the organism in Eukaryota, Metazoa, Chordata, Actinopteri, Centrarchiformes, Sinipercidae. The transcript is spliced from 3 exons. The record is from RefSeq and is a predicted model, not a curated record.
UCCACCUGUGAUUGCUUGCAGUUUUAUAAUAAAGACUGUUGCUACUACUAUCCAAGUUGCCACUUCCUUGUGUUCUGCAUUUGGGUCCUUAGAUCGUGCUUUACGACAGAAUAAUCUGGCCAACAUGGACCCAGUGGAUACCAACCCGGAAGUUGCCCCAUUCCAUCAAGCCCUAACCAGCCAGGAGAUUCUUCUGGGACAACAUGAGCAGGGCCUCCAGACUCUCUCUGAUAGCAACCAAGCCAUGUUGACCCAGAUCACACAACUAAUCAACCAAGUAUCAAGACUAACUACACAGCUCUCGUCUCCAGUCCCAAUGGCACCAUCUCCGCCGACUACUCCAGCGACUCCGUCACCAACCUCACCAGUACUCCGGGAUUCCUACGCCUCUGACCCAGAUCCCUUCACUGGAGAUGUCACUAGAUGCCAGGGUUUUUUGCUGCAAUGCUCUCUGGUCUUCUGCCAGUGUCCCGUAAUGUUUGCUUUGGAUCAGUCCAAGGUACAUUAUAUUGUGGAGUUACUAAGAGGAAGAGCAUUAGCCUGGGCGGAGGCUAUUCAUUAAAGCCAACCCUUGUCGUCAUUCUCCUUAGCAGAGUUUUUUGCUAAAAUGAGGAAUGUGUUUGAUCAUCCGGAUGCUUGUGGGAACGCGGGGAGACGGUUACUACAGAUCAACCAAGGGACCCAAAGCGUGGUGGAUUAUUCCAUUGAGUUCAGGACACUGGCUGCUGAUGCUGGGUGGAAUGAGGAAGCACUUAUCUGCGCGUUUGUGAAAGGGUUGUGUGAACAUGUCAAGGAUGAGCUGGCGGCUCGGGAUGAGCCCACCAACCUGUACGCUAUGGUGUCUCUGUGUAUCAGGAUGGACAACAUACGCGAACGGCGCCAGGAGCAUGCCAGCCAUCUCUUCAACCACUCCUCACACAACAUGGCCCCCACUAUGCACAAGAGACCUGGAACGCCAAUCCUGACCGCAGAUACACCCAUGCAACUGGACCAAGCCCAUCUCAUGCCGGCCAAGCGUCUCCGCAGAAGAACAGCUGGGGAAUGUCUGUACUGUGGCGACAGUGGUCACUUUCUGGAAACAUGUUCGGUACGUACAAAAGAAUAGGCUCACCAGUCACAGUGGGGAUCCAGGUGAGCCAAGACAACCCCUCGAGCCUAGGGCUCCCCUAGGCUACAAAUCCAGGCCACCCUCUACAACCAACAUAUGUCGCUUCCAUUAUUGGCUCUCAUCGACUCCAGGGCUGAGGGUAAUUUCCUGGAUACCGAGUUGGCUCAACAGGCUGGCAAGCAAAACUAUGAAGUCGGGAACAGGGAACUCCUGGCUGUCAAAUUAGCAUUGGAGAAAUGGCAUCACUGGUUGGAGGGAGCAGAACAACCAUUUGUGGUUUGGACAGAUCAUAAGAACCUAGAAUACAUCCAAACAGCCAAGAGACUCAACUCCCGACAAACACGUUGAGCUCUGUUCUUUGGCCGUUUCAAUUUUACGCUCACUUACCAUCCCGGAUCCAAGAACGUUAAACCCGAUGCACUAUCCCAUCAGUACCACUCCCAGGACAGCACCUCCGGACCUGAUACCAUCCUCCCUUCCACCUGUGUGGUGGCUGCAGUGACUUGGGAGAUCGAGUCCAUAGUAAGGGAGGCACAGCGGAACCAGCCGGACCCCGGGAACGGUCCUCCUGAUCACUUCUUUGUCCCUAACUCUGCUUGUUCUCAGGUGCUCCAGUGGGCUCAUAACUCUUGUUUCGCCUGCCACCCUGGAAUGACUCAGACUCUCUCUCUGCUCAGAUGACACUUUUGGUGGGCUACGAUGGAGGCUGAAACCCGGGCCUUCGUGGCAGCAUGUUCCAUCUGCACUCGAGGUAAAUCCUCUCAUCAGCCACCAGCGGGCCUGCUACGGCCAAUUCCUGUCCCUGGUCGCCCUUGGUCUCACAUAGCACUGGUCUUCGUUAUCGGGUUUCCCCCCUCUCAAGGUAAUACCACCAUCCUCACCAUUGUAGAACAUUCUUCCAAAGCAGUUAAUUUUUUGGCAUUAACCAAACUCCCCUCAGCUCAGGAGAUGGUGGACCUCCUAGUCCAACAGGUUUUCUGUCUUCAUGGCAUUCGACUCAACAUAGUUUCCGACCGGGGCCCCCAGUUCAUCUCGCAGGUCUGGAAGGCGUUCUGCCAAGCCCUGGUAGCUACCAUCGGUCUCUCCUCCGGGUUUCAUCCAGACCAAUGGCCAGACAGAGAGGGCCAGUCAGGACCUUGAGGCAGCCCUUCGGCUUCUUUAGGGUACCAGCCUCCUCUGUUCCCAUCUUAGGAGAGUGAGCUUGCGGUCCCUUCUGUUCAACACCACCUCCCGCCGUAAGAUUUGGAAGGAGACCUGGGCAGCACUCCUCCGGUCUGCGGAGAGGAAUCGCCACAUCGCAGAUCGGCACUGGACUCCAGCGCCACCAUACAAACCAGGUCAGAAAGUUUGGCUUUCUUCCAGAAACAUCCCUCUUAGAACCGAAUCCAGGAAACUGUCCCCCCCCCCGUUAUAUUGGCCCAUUCGUCAUCGAACGCAUCAUUAAUCCCUCCGCAGUCAAGCUCAAACUACCCCGCUCCAUGAGAGUCCACCCCAAUUUCCACAUUUCCCAACUGAAACCAGUCUUCUCCAGCACUCUGUGCCCUCCUUCCAAUCCCCCUCCACCCACUCGGGUCAUUGAUGAUCAACCGGUUUACUCCGUACGGCGGCUGCUGGAUGUGCGCCGACGGGGAAGGCAAUUCUAGUAUCUCGUGGACUGAGAGGGAUAUGGUCUGAAGGAGAGGUCCUGGGUCCCACGUUCUCUCAUCCUCGAUCCACGCCUGGUGAGAGAGUUCCACCAAUCCCAUCCGGAUAAGCCUGGAGGGUCGCCAGGAGGCUCCCGUUAAGGGGUUGGGUACUGUCUGAGUUAGCCACAUCUCUCUCCUGACCCUUGUGUGCUCUAGUGUGCUCUCCCUUCCCUGUGUUCCUUGUCUGUCCUCUGUCGGUCACCGUGUGUGUGUGUAUGUCGGUGUGUAUACUGGUCUGGCUCCCUGGUCCGCCCUCCUGCUGCUGAUCACCAGCACACCUGACGUUCAUCACUCAUAAGUCUCCACAGUAUAUCUACCUGGCUUCACCAUACUACCAGCGCUAGAUUGUCUCCGUACAUCAAGCUAUUCCCUGCUGGUGAUCCCAGCCACUGUAUCCUCCCUGAUCUCGGCUAAGCUGCUCUACUGUCUUGCCAGCCACACUACACAGGCCAGCUGCCGUUUCCUGUCCUGUCAGCCAUACUACACCGGCCAGCUGCCUUUUCCUGUCCUGCCAGCCACACUACACAAGCCAGCUGCCUUCCCAGUCCUGCCUCUCACGCUACACGAGCCAAGCCCAGCACCUACACUCAGCAUCGCCGUCCCCUGAGACUAGCCGGUUCCUCACAGACCAUAUUUACUACAUCGUCACUGGCUACAGCGGACUACACAACUUGCCCACUCUGGAAGAGCGUUUA